UUAAGCGACUAAGCGUACACGGUGGAUGCCCUGGCAGUCAGAGGCGAUGAAGGACGUGCUAAUCUGCGAUAAGCGUCGGUGAGGUGAUAUGAACCGUUAUAACCGGCGAUUUCCGAAUGGGGAAACCCAGUGUGUUUCGACACACUAUCAUUAACUGAAUCCAUAGGUUAAUGAGGCGAACCGGGGGAACUGAAACAUCUAAGUACCCCGAGGAAAAGAAAUCAACCGAGAUUCCCCCAGUAGCGGCGAGCGAACGGGGAGGAGCCCAGAGCCUGAAUCAGUGUGUGUGUUAGUGGAAGCGUCUGGAAAGGCGCGCGAUACAGGGUGACAGCCCCGUACACAAAAAUGCACAUACUGUGAGCUCGAUGAGUAGGGCGGGACACGUGGUAUCCUGUCUGAAUAUGGGGGGACCAUCCUCCAAGGCUAAAUACUCCUGACUGACCGAUAGUGAACCAGUACCGUGAGGGAAAGGCGAAAAGAACCCCGGCGAGGGGAGUGAAAAAGAACCUGAAACCGUGUACGUACAAGCAGUGGGAGCCUCUUAAUGGGGUGACUGCGUACCUUUGUAUAAUGGGUCAGCGACUUAUAUUCUGUAGCAAGGUUAACCGAAUAGGGGAGCCGAAGGGAAACCGAGUCUUAACUGGGCGUUAAGUUGCAGGGUAUAGACCCGAAACCCGGUGAUCUAGCCAUGGGCAGGUUGAAGGUUGGGUAACACUAACUGGAGGACCGAACCGACUAAUGUUGAAAAAUUAGCGGAUGACUUGUGGCUGGGGGUGAAAGGCCAAUCAAACCGGGAGAUAGCUGGUUCUCCCCGAAAGCUAUUUAGGUAGCGCCUCGUGAAUUCAUCUCCGGGGGUAGAGCACUGUUUCGGCAAGGGGGUCAUCCCGACUUACCAACCCGAUGCAAACUGCGAAUACCGGAGAAUGUUAUCACGGGAGACACACGGCGGGUGCUAACGUCCGUCGUGAAGAGGGAAACAACCCAGACCGCCAGCUAAGGUCCCAAAGUCAUGGUUAAGUGGGAAACGAUGUGGGAAGGCCCAGACAGCCGUGAUGUUGGCUUAGAAGCAGCCAUCAUUUAAAGAAAGCGUAAUAGCUCACUGGUCGAGUCGGCCUGCGCGGAAGAUGUAACGGGCUAAACCAUGCACCGAAGCUGCGGCAGCGACACUAUGUGUUGUUGGGUAGGGAGCGUUCUGUAAGCCUGUGAAGGUGUACUGUGAGGUAUGCUGGAGGUAUCAGAAGUGCGAAUGCUGACAUAAGUAACGAUAAAGCGGGUGAAAAGCCCGCUCGCCGGAAGACCAAGGGUUCCUGUCCAACGUUAAUCGGGGCAGGGUGAGUCGACCCUAAGGCGAGGCCGAAAGGCGUAGUCGAUGGGAAACAGGUUAAUAUUCCUGUACUUGGUGUUACUGCGAAGGGGACGGAGAAGGCUAUGUUGGCCGGGCGACGGUUGUCCCGGUUUAAGCGUGUAGGCUGGUUUUCCGGGCAAAUCCGGAAAAUCAAGGCUGAGGCGUGAUGACGAGGCACUACGGUGCUGAAGCGACAAAUGCCCUGCUUCCGUGAAAGCCUCUAAGCAUCAGGUAACAUCAAAUCGUACCCCAAACCGACACAGGUGGUCAGGUAGAGAAUACCAAGGCGCUUGAGAGAACUCGGGUGAAGGAACUAGGCAAAAUGGUGCCGUAACUUCGGGAGAAGGCACGCUGAUAUGUAGGUGAAGCGACUUGCUCGUGGAGCUGAAAUCAGUCGAAGAUACCAGCUGGCUGCAACUGUUUAUUAAAAACACAGCACUGUGCAAACACGAAAGUGGACGUAUACGGUGUGACGCCUGCCCGGUGCCGGAAGGUUAAUUGAUGGGGUUAGCGGUAACGCGAAGCUCUUGAUCGAAGCCCCGGUAAACGGCGGCCGUAACUAUAACGGUCCUAAGGUAGCGAAAUUCCUUGUCGGGUAAGUUCCGACCUGCACGAAUGGCGUAAUGAUGGCGGGCUGUCUCCACCCGAGACUCAGUGAAAUUGAACUCGCUGUGAAGAUGCAGUGUACCCGCGGCAAGACGGAAAGACCCCGUGAACCUUUACUAUAGCUUGACACUGAACAUUGAGCCUUGAUGUGUAGGAUAGGUGGGAGGCUUUGAAGUGUGGACGCCAGUCUGCAUGGAGCCGACCUUGAAAUACCACCCUUUAAUGUUUGAUGUUCUAACGUGGGCCCCUUACCGGGGUUGCGGACAGUGUCUGGUGGGUAGUUUGACUGGGGCGGUCUCCUCCUAAAGAGUAACGGAGGAGCACGAAGGUUGGCUAAUCCUGGUCGGACAUCAGGAGGUUAGUGCAAUGGCAUAAGCCAGCUUGACUGCGAGCGUGACGGCGCGAGCAGGUGCGAAAGCAGGUCAUAGUGAUCCGGUGGUUCUGAAUGGAAGGGCCAUCGCUCAACGGAUAAAAGGUACUCCGGGGAUAACAGGCUGAUACCGCCCAAGAGUUCAUAUCGACGGCGGUGUUUGGCACCUCGAUGUCGGCUCAUCACAUCCUGGGGCUGAAGUAGGUCCCAAGGGUAUGGCUGUUCGCCAUUUAAAGUGGUACGCGAGCUGGGUUUAGAACGUCGUGAGACAGUUCGGUCCCUAUCUGCCGUGGGCGCUGGAGAACUGAGGGGGGCUGCUCCUAGUACGAGAGGACCGGAGUGGACGCAUCACUGGUGUUCGGGUUGUCAUGCCAAUGGCACUGCCCGGUAGCUAAAUGCGGAAGAGAUAAGUGCUGAAAGCAUCUAAGCACGAAACUUGCCCCGAGAUGAGUUCUCCCUGACUCCUUGAGAGUCCUGAAGGAACGUUGAAGACGACGACGUUGAUAGGCCGGGUGUGUAAGCGCAGCGAUGCGUUGAGCUAACCGGUACUAAUGAACCGUGAGGCUUAACCU
Molecule: ribosomal RNA, 2893 nt
Filed under: Escherichia coli
Lineage: Bacteria; Pseudomonadati; Pseudomonadota; Gammaproteobacteria; Enterobacterales; Enterobacteriaceae
Description: 23S ribosomal RNA
Rfam family: Bacterial large subunit ribosomal RNA
Source: RNAcentral